This 106-nucleotide Y RNA is filed under the name Prolemur simus (greater bamboo lemur). RNAcentral's name for it is "Y RNA (ENSPSMG00000012863.1)". It matches the Rfam family "Y RNA". From Rfam's summary of the family: Y RNAs are components of the Ro ribonucleoprotein particle (Ro RNP), in association with Ro60 and La proteins. The Y RNAs and Ro60 and La proteins are well conserved, but the function of the Ro RNP is not known. The record is from Rfam by way of RNAcentral. Lineage: Eukaryota; Metazoa; Chordata; Mammalia; Primates; Lemuridae.
GGCUGGUCCGAAGGUUAUCUCACUUGAUUGUUCACAGUCAGUUACAGAUUGAACUCCUUGUUCUACUACUUUCCCCCUUCUCACUACUGCACUUGACUAGUCUUUA